UACGUAGGUGGCAAGCGUUGUCCGGAUUUACUGGGUGUAAAGGGCGUGUAGCCGGGUUGACAAGUCAGAUGUGAAAUCCUGCGGCUUAACCGCAGAACUGCAUUUGAAACUGUUGAUCCUGAGUACUGGAGAGGCAGACGGAAUUCCUAGUGUAGCGGUGAAGUGCGUAGAUAUUAGGAGGAACACCAGUGGCGAAGGCGGUCUGCUGGACAGCAACUGACGCUGAGGCGCGAAAGCGUGGGGAGCAAACAGG
This 253-nucleotide ribosomal RNA is filed under the name uncultured bacterium. RNAcentral describes it as "partial 16S ribosomal RNA". It matches the Rfam family "Bacterial small subunit ribosomal RNA", at positions 524 to 776 of the family's 1533-position model. The record is from RNAcentral.